GCUUUGCUGUGAUGAAUUAUGAAAUAAAUUCACAUGUCAGACUUCAGAGAUUUGUUUAAAAAUCUAUGAGAAGAAAAGUCAUGUCUUCUGAGCAGAUA
This is a non-coding RNA of Gossypium raimondii (Peruvian cotton), 98 nucleotides long. The record is from Rfam. NCBI's taxonomy places the organism in Eukaryota, Viridiplantae, Streptophyta, Magnoliopsida, Malvales, Malvaceae.